RNAcentral lists this ribosomal RNA (253 nucleotides) under uncultured bacterium. RNAcentral describes it as "partial 16S ribosomal RNA". It matches the Rfam family "Bacterial small subunit ribosomal RNA", at positions 524 to 776 of the family's 1533-position model. The record is from RNAcentral.
UACGUAGGGGGCUAGCGUUGUCCGGAAUCAUUGGGCGUAAAGAGCGUGUAGGCGGCCCGGUAAGUCCGCUGUAAAAGUCAAAGGCUCAACCUUUGAAUGUCAGUGGAUACUGCCGGGCUAGAGUCCGGAAGAGGCGAGUGGAAUUCCUGGUGUAGCGGUGAAAUGCGCAGAUAUCAGGAGGAACACCCGUGGCGAAAGCGGCUCUCUGGGACGGUACUGACGCUGAGACGCGAAAGCGUGGGGAGCAAACAGG